This 373-nucleotide ribosomal RNA is filed under the name uncultured organism. Its description in RNAcentral is "bacterial SSU rRNA". It matches the Rfam family "Bacterial small subunit ribosomal RNA", at positions 526 to 896 of the family's 1533-position model. The record is from RNAcentral.
CAGGGGAUGCAAGCGUUACUCGGAAUUACUGGGCGUAAAGCGUCUGCAGGCUUCUUUCCACGUCUGGUGUAAAAGCACGAAGCUCAACUCCGUGUACGUGCCGGAAACGAGAGAGAUAGAGUCAUUCAGAGGCAUCUGGAAUGUCGUGUGUAGGGGUAAAAUCCGUAGAUCCACGAUGGAACGCCAAAAGUGAAAACAGGGUGCUGGGAAUGUACUGACGCUCAGAGACGAAAGCGUGGGGAGCAAAGGGGAUUAGAUACCCCCGUAGUCCACGCCCUAAACGAUGUGUGCUCGGUGUAGGAGUUUUCAAUUGGCUCCUGUGCCUUAGCUAACGCGUUAAGCACACCGCCUGGGAAGUACGGCCGCAAGGCUA